This 71-nucleotide transfer RNA is filed under the name Ictidomys tridecemlineatus (thirteen-lined ground squirrel). RNAcentral's name for it is "Spermophilus tridecemlineatus (thirteen-lined ground squirrel) tRNA". It matches the Rfam family "tRNA". From Rfam's summary of the family: Transfer RNA (tRNA) molecules are approximately 80 nucleotides in length. Their secondary structure includes four short double-helical elements and three loops (D, anti-codon, and T loops). Further hydrogen bonds mediate the characteristic L-shaped molecular structure. tRNAs have two regions of fundamental functional importance: the anti-codon, which is responsible for specific mRNA codon recognition, and the 3' end, to which the tRNAs corresponding amino acid is attached (by aminoacyl-tRNA synthetases). tRNAs cope with the degeneracy of the genetic code in two manners: having more than one tRNA (with a specific anti-codon) for a particular amino acid; and 'wobble' base-pairing, i.e. permitting non-standard base-pairing at the 3rd anti-codon position. Lineage: Eukaryota; Metazoa; Chordata; Mammalia; Rodentia; Sciuridae. The record is from Rfam by way of RNAcentral.
GGGGAUACAGCUCAGUUGGAAGAGUGUUUGCCUCCCAUGCACAGGCCCUGGGUUCAAUCCCAGCACCCCCC